RNAcentral lists this ribosomal RNA (253 nucleotides) under uncultured bacterium. RNAcentral describes it as "partial 16S ribosomal RNA". It matches the Rfam family "Bacterial small subunit ribosomal RNA", at positions 524 to 776 of the family's 1533-position model. The record is from RNAcentral.
UACAGAGGUCUCAAGCGUUGUUCGGAUUCACUGGGUUUUAAGGGUGCGUAGGUGGGCAAGUAAGUCAGUGGUGAAAUCUCCGGGCUUAACCCGGAAACUGCCAUUGAUACUAUUUGUCUUGAAUACUGUGGAGGUCAGCGGAAUAUGUCAUGUAGCGGUGAAAUGCUUAGAUAUGACAUAGAACACCAAUUGCGAAGGCAGCUGGCUACACAAAUAUUGACACUGAGGCACGAAAGCGUGGGGAUCAAACAGG